RNAcentral lists this ribosomal RNA (253 nucleotides) under uncultured bacterium. RNAcentral's name for it is "partial 16S ribosomal RNA". It matches the Rfam family "Bacterial small subunit ribosomal RNA", at positions 524 to 776 of the family's 1533-position model. The record is from RNAcentral.
GACAGAGGGUGCAAACGUUGUUCGGAAUUACUGGGCGUAAAGCGCGUGUAGGCGGCUAUGCAAGUCGGAUGUGAAAGCCCUCGGCUCAACCGGGGAAGUGCACCCGAAACUGCAAAGCUAGAGUCUCGGAGAGGAUCGUGGAAUUCUCGGUGUAGAGGUGAAAUUCGUAGAGAUCGGAAAGAACACCAACGGCGAAAGCACUCUGCUGGGCCGACACUGACACUGAGAGACGAAAGCUAGGGGAGCGAAUGGG